This 253-nucleotide ribosomal RNA is filed under the name uncultured bacterium. RNAcentral's name for it is "partial 16S ribosomal RNA". It matches the Rfam family "Bacterial small subunit ribosomal RNA", at positions 524 to 776 of the family's 1533-position model. The record is from RNAcentral.
UACGUAGGUGGCAAGCGUUGUCCGGAUUUACUGGGCGUAAAGAGCGCGCAGGCGGUCAGAUAAGUCGAAUGUGAAAGCCCCUGGCUCAACUGGGGAGGGUCAUUCGAUACUGUUCGACUCGAAGGCAGGAGAGGGAAGUGGAAUUCCCGGUGUAGUGGUGAAAUGCGUAGAUAUCGAGAGGAACACCUGAGGUGAAGACGGGUUGCUGGGCUGACACUGACGCUGAGGCGCGAAAGCCAGGGGAGCAAACGGG